AGAGUUUGAUCCUGGCUCAGGAUGAACGCUGGCGGCGUGCUUAACACAUGCAAGUCGAACGAACCUUCGGGUUAGUGGCGGACGGGUGAGUAACGCGUGGGAAUCUGCCCUCAGGAGGGGGAUAACGGCUGGAAACGGCCGCUAAUACCCCAUAUGCCGAGAGGUGAAAUGAAUUUCGCCUGAGGAUGAGCCCGCGUCUGAUUAGCUAGUUGGUGUGGUAAUGGCUCACCAAGGCUUCGAUCAGUAGCUGGUCUGAGAGGAUGAUUAGCCACACUGGGACUGAGACACGGCCCAGACUCCUACGGGAGGCAGCAGUGGGGAAUUUUCCGCAAUGGGCGAAAGCCUGACGGAGCAACGCCGCGUGAGGGAUGAAGGCCUCUGGGCUGUAAACCUCUUUUUUCAAGGAAGAAGACCUGACGGUACUUGAAGAAUAAGCCACGGCUAAUUCCGUGCCAGCAGCCGCGGUAAUACGGGAGUGGCAAGCGUUAUCCGGAAUUAUUGGGCGUAAAGCGUCCGCAGGCGGCCCUGAAAGUCUGUCGUUAAAGCGUGGAGCUCAACUCCAUUUAAGCGAUGGAAACUACAGGGCUAGAGUGUGGUAGGGGCAGAGGGAAUUCCCGGUGUAGCGGUGAAAUGCGUAGAUAUCGGGAAGAACACCAGUGGCGAAGGCGCUCUGCUGGGCCAUAACUGACGCUCAUGGACGAAAGCCAGGGGAGCGAAAGGGAUUAGAUACCCCUGUAGUCCUGGCCGUAAACGAUGAACACUAGGUGUCGGGGGAAUCGACCCCCUCGGUGUCGUAGCCAACGCGUUAAGUGUUCCGCCUGGGGAGUACGCACGCAAGUGUGAAACUCAAAGGAAUUGACGGGGGCCCGCACAAGCGGUGGAGUAUGUGGUUUAAUUCGAUGCAACGCGAAGAACCUUACCAGGGUUUGACAUCCUGCGAAUCCCUUGGAAACGAGGGAGUGCCUUCGGGAGCGCAGAGACAGGUGGUGCAUGGCUGUCGUCAGCUCGUGUCGUGAGAUGUUGGGUUAAGUCCCGCAGCGAGCGCAACCCACGUCGUUAGUUGCCAGCAUUCAGUUGGGCACUCUAGCGAGACCGCCGGUGAUAAACCGGAGGAAGGUGUGGAUGACGUCAAGUCAUCAUGCCCCUUACAUCCUGGGCUACACACGUACUACAAUGCUACGGACAAAGGGCAGCAAGCUCGCGAGAGUUAGCAAAUCCCAUAAACCGUGGCUCAGUUCAGAUCGUGGGCUGCAACCCGCCUACGUGAAGGAGGAAUCGCUAGUAAUCGCAGGUCAGCAUACUGCGGUGAAUAUGUUCCCGGGCCUUGUACACACCGCCCGUCACACCAUGGAAGUUGGCCACGCCCGAAGUCGUUACUCCAACCCGU
Molecule: ribosomal RNA, 1387 nt
Filed under: metagenome
Description: bacterial SSU rRNA
Rfam family: Bacterial small subunit ribosomal RNA
Source: RNAcentral